GACGAACGCUGGCGGCGGGCUUAACACAUGCAAGUCGAACGGAAAGGCCCUGCUUGUGUGUGGUUCUCGAGUGGCGAACGGGUGAGUAACACGUGAGUAACCUUCCCUGUACGGUGUGAUAACUGCAGGAGACUGGGGCUAAUACCUGAUAGGAGCUCCUGCUGCAUGGGGGUGGUUGGAAAGCUUCGGCUGAGGGGGAUGGAGUCGGGGCUUAUCAGCUUGUUGGGUGGGUAGUGGCUUAGGAAGUCUUUGACGGGUCGCCGGCCUGGGAGCGUGACCGGCCUCCUUGGGCCUGCGGUACGGACCAGUGUCCUACGGGAGGCAGCAGUGGGGAACAUUGUACAGUGGGCCGACGCCUGAUGCGGCAACCCUCCGAGCGUGAUGCCGGCUUUCGGGUUGUAAACCGCUUUCGCCUGUGACCAUGCGUGAGUGACGUUACUGGGUAAAGAAGCACCGGCUAACUACGUG
This 468-nucleotide ribosomal RNA is filed under the name uncultured bacterium. Its description in RNAcentral is "partial 16S ribosomal RNA". It matches the Rfam family "Bacterial small subunit ribosomal RNA", at positions 28 to 507 of the family's 1533-position model. The record is from RNAcentral.